This 67-nucleotide transfer RNA is filed under the name Ophioplinthus brevirima. Its description in RNAcentral is "tRNA-Ser". The record is from RNAcentral. Lineage: Eukaryota; Metazoa; Echinodermata; Ophiuroidea; Amphilepidida; Ophiuridae.
AGAAGUAACCGAUUAUUCUUAUCCUGCUAAGUUAAAGAAUCCGUGGUUUAACUCCAUGGUACUCCUG